Molecule: non-coding RNA, 28 nt
Filed under: Homo sapiens (human)
Lineage: Eukaryota; Metazoa; Chordata; Mammalia; Primates; Hominidae
Source: RNAcentral
UUGCCACAAAUGGAGCCAUAUAGAGGAA